AGAGUUUGAUCAUGGCUCAGAUUGAACGCUGGCGGCAUGCCUUACACAUGCAAGUCGAACGGUAACAGGUUAAGCUGACGAGUGGCGAACGGGUGAGUAAUAUAUCGGAACGUGCCCAGUAGUGGGGGAUAGCCCGGCGAAAGCCGGAUUAAUACCGCAUACGACCUACGGGUGAAAGCGGGGGAUCGCAAGACCUCGCGCUAUUGGAGCGGCCGAUAUCAGAUUAGCUAGUUGGUAGGGUAAAAGCCUACCAAGGCGACGAUCUGUAGCCGGUCUGAGAGGACGACCAGCCACACUGGGACUGAGACACGGCCCAGACUCCUACGGGAGGCAGCAGUGGGGAAUUUUGGACAAUGGACGCAAGUCUGAUCCAGCCAUGCCGCGUGCGGGAAGAAGGCCUUCGGGUUGUAAACCGCUUUUGUCAGGGAAGAAAAGCUUCGAGCUAAUAUCUUGGAGUGAUGACGGUACCUGAAGAAUAAGCACCGGCUAACUACGUGCCAGCAGCCGCGGUAAUACGUAGGGUGCAAGCGUUAAUCGGAAUUACUGGGCGUAAAGCGUGCGCAGGCGGUUCUAUAAGACAGAUGUGAAAUCCCCGGGCUCAACCUGGGAACUGCAUUUGUGACUGUAGAGCUGGAGUACGGUAGAGGGGGAUGGAAUUCCGCGUGUAGCAGUGAAAUGCGUAGAUAUGCGGAGGAACACCGAUGGCGAAGGCAAUCCCCUGGACCUGUACUGACGCUCAUGCACGAAAGCGUGGGGAGCAAACAGGAUUAGAUACCCUAGUAGUCC
Molecule: ribosomal RNA, 786 nt
Filed under: uncultured bacterium
Lineage: Bacteria
Description: bacterial SSU rRNA
Rfam family: Bacterial small subunit ribosomal RNA
Source: RNAcentral